Molecule: ribosomal RNA, 175 nt
Filed under: uncultured Hydrogenophaga sp.
Lineage: Bacteria; Pseudomonadati; Pseudomonadota; Betaproteobacteria; Burkholderiales; Comamonadaceae
Description: partial 16S ribosomal RNA
Rfam family: Bacterial small subunit ribosomal RNA
Source: RNAcentral
UGGGGCUACACACGUCAUACAAUGGCCGGUACAAAGGGCAGCCAACCCGCGAGGGGGAGCCAAUCCCAUAAAGCCGGUCGUAGUCCGGAUCGCAGUCUGCAACUCGACUGCGUGAAGUCGGAAUCGCUAGUAAUCGUGGAUCAGCAUGUCACGGUGAAUACGUUCCCGGGUCCUU